GGGUGUGACCAUACCAGCACGAACGCACCGGAUCCCAUCAGAACUCCGAAGUUAAGCGUGCUUGGGCGCGAGUAUUACUAGGAUGUGUGACGCCCUGGGAAGUCCUCGUGUUGCACCCU
RNAcentral lists this ribosomal RNA (119 nucleotides) under Olea europaea subsp. europaea. Lineage: Eukaryota; Viridiplantae; Streptophyta; Magnoliopsida; Lamiales; Oleaceae. The record is from RNAcentral.